AAAUCCAUCAGAGGGACAGCACAUGUUAGAGGAUUUGGAGAUCAAGUCCAGACUGAGAUGGUUUGGACUUGUUCGGAGGAGAGACAGAGAAGAUAUUGUUUGAAAGAUUCUAACUCUAGAGAUGCAGGAAAGAGGUCUAGAGAAAGACCAAAGAGGAGGUUUAUACAAAGAGGAAAGGAUGCAGAAGACGGUUAGAUGGAGCAAACUCAUUGGCUGUGGAGACCCUGAAGGGAAAGCCCAAAAGGAAAAGAUGAUUUAAAUACACAGGAGAAAAAUGUCAUUAUCCAGGGAAAAGUAAUAAACUAAAAAGUAACUUUAAAAAAGUGCAUUAGCAGAUGAAGAUCUACAUUUCCUCCACAGAAUUUCCUCUUUAUCCAAAUAUUUCUUCCUUGUGUUCCUGUACAACAUUUAUUUUAUUUAUUUUUAAUAGUUGUUCCAGUUUUUAAAAUGUACUCUUACAUUUAAAUGUAAACUCGUGUGGUUCAUAGCGCACCCACGUGAAGAAAAGUGCUUUUUAGUGAAGGUCGGUUUGGACCCUUCUGUUUGGAGGAUGACUUUUAUUAAAUGAUAUUCAGAUCUUAAAUGGAGGCUAUUUGAUAUUCCAACUUAAAAUGAAAUGAAAAAAAAAACAUGUGGAGGCUAAUUAAUAUGAAUUAAUAUUCCAACUUAAAAUGAAAUGAACAAUUCAAACAAAAACAUGUGGGGAAGGCAAGGCUGGUAGGGCCCAACCGGUCACCUGAUUGCACAUGCUGAUGCAACCAUUGACCGACGGCUCGGCUGAGUAUGCCUACCAGUCUGACCUGCCGUCCGGUCAGACCUGCCCGCCUUCCCUGCUACUGAUCCCGUCAGCACUGAGGAUCAGUAUCACACGGAGCAACUCCCAGCGCUAAGAGAAGCUCAAGGGGGGUUUGGUCACGAUCGGUUUUCAUCUUCACUAUUCUCCUCCUCUUCAACAACACUUUCUUCAUCGCUGCGUUCAUCCUUUUCCAGCUGUGGACAGAAGCAGACACAGAGGUCUCAGAAAUGAAGUGUGGUUUUUUUUGGAUGCUAAAGAACUUAAAAACCAUGCGUAGGAUUAAGCCAGCCCAAAAAAUGUGAAGAACCUGGAGCACCAUCAGCAGGAUGUUGAAAAAGUAAUAGCCAACAAAGGGCUCGAACACCUCCAUUGAUAGUAACAGGGUAGCGCGAAUGAGUCUGUGGGCAAAAGAAAGGUUUAAAUCAAGAUUCCUCAAAGAUGGACCAGUUACUAAAGACCAUUUGUGGCUUACUUGCUGGGGAAAAUAACCAGCCGAGUCACAAGGAAAACCACAGAAAACACCACAAACAGAGAGUCACACGUCUUCUUCCAGCCGGUGCCAUAGUGGAACAUCUUGGCAGACUACAGAUUAAAAUAAAAAAAA
This is a long non-coding RNA of Oryzias melastigma (Indian medaka), 1400 nucleotides long. RefSeq lists it as uncharacterized. NCBI's taxonomy places the organism in Eukaryota, Metazoa, Chordata, Actinopteri, Beloniformes, Adrianichthyidae. The transcript has 3 exons. The record is from RefSeq and is a predicted model, not a curated record.